AUUUAUAUAGUUUAAACAAAACAUUACAUUUUCACUGUAAAGACAAAAAUCUUUUUUUUUAUAAAUU
This 67-nucleotide transfer RNA is filed under the name Heteralonia sp. Its description in RNAcentral is "tRNA-Glu". It matches the Rfam family "tRNA". Rfam says of the family: Transfer RNA (tRNA) molecules are approximately 80 nucleotides in length. Their secondary structure includes four short double-helical elements and three loops (D, anti-codon, and T loops). Lineage: Eukaryota; Metazoa; Arthropoda; Insecta; Diptera; Bombyliidae. The record is from RNAcentral.